RNAcentral lists this ribosomal RNA (538 nucleotides) under Caridina thomasi. RNAcentral describes it as "partial 16S ribosomal RNA". It matches the Rfam family "Bacterial large subunit ribosomal RNA", at positions 1829 to 2623 of the family's 2925-position model. Lineage: Eukaryota; Metazoa; Arthropoda; Malacostraca; Decapoda; Atyidae. The record is from RNAcentral.
GUCUGUGUGGGUUGUUGAUGCGCAGUCUGGCCUGCCCCCUGAGGUUUUAAAGGGCCGCGGUAUUUGGACCGUGCUAAGGUAGCAUAAUAAAUAGUCUUUUAAUUGAAGUCUAGUAUGAAUGGUCGGACAUGAAGUGAGCUGUUUCAACUUUAAUAAUUGAAUUUUACUUUUAAGUGAAAAGGCUUAGAUCAAACAGUGGGACGAUAAGACCCUAUAAAGCUUUACAUUCUAUUUAUUGGCCUAGGGAGCUAGGGUUUUCUAUCCUUAUUGAGUAGAGUGUUUCGUUGGGGCGACGGGAAUAAAAAUAGUAACUGUUUUUUAUAUAAAAAUAUAUAUUUAUAGGUGGGUUGAUCCUUUUUAGAGAUUAAAAGAUUUAAGUUACUUUAGGGAUAACAGCGUAAUUUCUCUUGAGAGUCCAUAUCGACAGGUGUAGUUGCGACCUCGAUGUUGAAUUAAAAUGUCUCCAAAGUGUAGCAGUUUUGGUGGUAGGUCUGUUCGACCUUUAAAAUUUUACAUGAUUUGAGUUCAGACCGGCGUG